GACGAACGCUGGCGGCGUGCUUAACACAUGCAAGUCGAACGGAAAGGCCCUGCUUGCAGGGUACUCGAGUGGCGAACGGGUGAGUAACACGUGGGUGAUCUGCCCUGCACUUCGGGAUAAGCCUGGGAAACUGGGUCUAAUACCGGAUAGGAGCCAUUUUUAGUGUGAUGGUUGGAAAGUUUUUUCGGUGUAGGAUGAGCUCGCGGCCUAUCAGCUUGUUGGUGGGGUAAUGGCCUACCAAGGCGGCGACGGGUAGCCGGCCUGAGAGGGUGGACGGCCACAUUGGGACUGAGAUACGGCCCAGACUCCUACGGGAGGCAGCGGCGGGGAAUAUUGCACAAUGGGCGCAAGCCUGAUGCAGCGACGCCGCGUGGGGGAUGACGGCCUUCGGGUUGUAAACUCCUUUCGCUAGGGACGAAGCUUUUUGUGACGGUACCUAGAUAAGAAGCACCGGCUAACUACGUG
Molecule: ribosomal RNA, 465 nt
Filed under: uncultured bacterium
Lineage: Bacteria
Description: partial 16S ribosomal RNA
Rfam family: Bacterial small subunit ribosomal RNA
Source: RNAcentral